RNAcentral lists this ribosomal RNA (451 nucleotides) under uncultured bacterium. Its description in RNAcentral is "bacterial SSU rRNA". It matches the Rfam family "Bacterial small subunit ribosomal RNA", at positions 79 to 507 of the family's 1533-position model. The record is from RNAcentral.
UUCGGGUGUGAGUAGAGUGGCGCACGGGUGAGUAACACGUAGGUGACCUGCCUUUUAGUGGGGGAUAACCAGGAGAAAUUCUGGCUAAUACCGCAUACGAAUCACAAUUUUGGAAGUAGUGAUAGAAAGAAUGCCUCUCCUUGGAAGCAUUUGCUAAAAGAUGGGCCUGCGUAGCAUUAGCUAGAUGGUGGAGUAACGGCCUACCAUGGCUACGAUGCUUAGCUGGUCUGAGAGGAUGAUCAGCCACACUGGAACUGAGACACGGUCCAGACUCCUACGGGAGGCAGCAGUGGGGAAUAUUGCGCAAUGGGCGAAAGCCUGACGCAGCAAUGCCGCGUGAGUGAGGAAGGCCUUCGGGUUGUAAAGCUCUGUCAGAUAGGAAGAAUUGCCAAGGGUCCAAUAGGCCCUUGGAGUGACGGUACUAUCAAAGGAAGCACCGGCUAACUUCGUG